Molecule: non-coding RNA, 111 nt
Filed under: Lautropia sp.
Lineage: Bacteria; Pseudomonadati; Pseudomonadota; Betaproteobacteria; Burkholderiales; Burkholderiaceae
Description: Glycine sequence
Rfam family: Glycine riboswitch aptamer
About the family: This family represents the bacterial glycine riboswitch.
Source: RNAcentral
ACAACCGCUGUGGGAGAGACUGCGCGGACCGGAAACAAGCCGACCGGUCCGGCGUGGCGCCGAAGGUGUAUCGCCCCGGAAACUCUCAGGCAAAAGGACUGCAGCGGUUCG